CCUACGGGAGGCUGCAGUGAGGAAUAUUGGUCAAUGGGCGAAAGCCUGAACCAGCCAAGUCGCGUGAGGGAAGACUGUCCUAUGGAUUGUAAACCUCUUUUGUCAGGGAGCAAAGUCACCCACGUGUGGGUAUUGGAGAGUACCUGAAGAAAAAACAUCGGCCAACUCCGUUCCAGCAGCCGAGGUAAUACGGGGGGUGCGAGCGUUAUCCGGAUUUAUUGGGUUUAAAGGGUGCGUAGGCGGGUUAUCAAGUCAGCGGUAAAAUCGUGGAGCUAAACUCGAUCCAGCCGUCGAAACUGGUGAUCUUGAGUGGGCGAGAAGUAUGCGGAAUGCGUGGUGUAGCGGUGAAAUGCAUAGAUAUCACGCAGAACGCCGAUUGCGAAGGCAGCAUACCGGCGCCCGACUGACGCUGAAGCACGAAAGCGUGGGGAUCGAACAGGAUUAGAUACCCUGGUAGUC
Molecule: ribosomal RNA, 459 nt
Filed under: uncultured bacterium
Lineage: Bacteria
Description: partial 16S ribosomal RNA
Rfam family: Bacterial small subunit ribosomal RNA
Source: RNAcentral